This 73-nucleotide transfer RNA is filed under the name bacterium ADurb.Bin236. RNAcentral describes it as "tRNA-Glu". It matches the Rfam family "tRNA". From Rfam's summary of the family: Transfer RNA (tRNA) molecules are approximately 80 nucleotides in length. Their secondary structure includes four short double-helical elements and three loops (D, anti-codon, and T loops). RNAcentral also lists the same sequence under 1 other name. The record is from RNAcentral.
GGCCCCUUCGUCUAGUGGCCCAGGACGUCGGAUUCUCAGUCCGAAAGCAGGGGUUCGACUCCCCUAGGGGCUA